GGAACGGUGCCCGAGUGGUUGAAGGGGUACGCCUGGAAAGCGUAUGUACGGGUCACCGUACCGAGGGUUCGAAUCCCUCCCGUUCCGCCA
This 90-nucleotide transfer RNA is filed under the name Deinococcus aetherius. RNAcentral describes it as "tRNA-Ser". It matches the Rfam family "tRNA". Rfam says of the family: Transfer RNA (tRNA) molecules are approximately 80 nucleotides in length. Their secondary structure includes four short double-helical elements and three loops (D, anti-codon, and T loops). The record is from RNAcentral. Lineage: Bacteria; Thermotogati; Deinococcota; Deinococci; Deinococcales; Deinococcaceae.